GCAGAAGUACCCAAGUGGCUAUAAGGGGCUCCCCUGCUAAGGGAGUAGACGGGUUAAACCGUGCGAGGGUUCGAAUCCCUCCUUCUGCGCCA
Molecule: transfer RNA, 92 nt
Filed under: Firmicutes bacterium ASF500
Lineage: Bacteria; Bacillati; Bacillota
Also listed under: 9 other names
Description: tRNA-Ser
Rfam family: tRNA
About the family: Transfer RNA (tRNA) molecules are approximately 80 nucleotides in length.
Source: RNAcentral